This 100-nucleotide small nuclear RNA is filed under the name Meriones unguiculatus (Mongolian gerbil). The record is from RNAcentral. Lineage: Eukaryota; Metazoa; Chordata; Mammalia; Rodentia; Muridae.
AAUGUAAUAAGAUAUUUUUUCACUCGGAACAAGACAGAGAAGGUCAGCAUGGCCUCUGCACAAGAAUGGCAUGCAACCUUGUAAAGCAUGUCGUGUGAGG